GGCCAUCCGACGUACAUUUUACCUUGCGGUGAGUAAUACCCCGCAUUCCAUAUGAUGCGUAUAUGGGAACUGAUCGAAUAGCGCCAGGCGAGACACCGUGUGCGUCUGGCUUAACGUAUCCAGGUUUUUGCACAACGUUUCCGGAUUGCAGGAAAUGUACAGAAUACGUGGAUAAGCCUGCACCAUUUUUUCCGUUUCGCUGUCCAGACCGCUGCGCGGCGGAUCGACAAAAAUGGUUUCGCACUGAUAGCCCUUCAGGUCGAUCCCCUGCAGGCGGUUAAACUCACGAACGCCAUUCAUCGCCUGGGUAAACUCUUCCGCCGCCAUGCGAAUAAUUUGCACAUUAUCAAUAUGAUUAGCGGCAAUAUUGUACUGUGCGGCAGCGACGGACGGUUUGGCUAUUUCGGUUGCCAGCACGCGGUUAAAAUUGCGCGCCAGCGCUAA
This 444-nucleotide ribosomal RNA is filed under the name Salmonella enterica subsp. enterica serovar Rubislaw str. A4-653. Its description in RNAcentral is "partial large subunit ribosomal RNA". Lineage: Bacteria; Pseudomonadati; Pseudomonadota; Gammaproteobacteria; Enterobacterales; Enterobacteriaceae. The record is from RNAcentral.